RNAcentral lists this long non-coding RNA (1162 nucleotides) under Vigna radiata. RNAcentral describes it as "long non-coding RNA (VRAD_LNC014257)". The record is from RNAcentral. Lineage: Eukaryota; Viridiplantae; Streptophyta; Magnoliopsida; Fabales; Fabaceae.
UGGUGUUUGGCAUAUUGUAGGAGAGGGGACAUCUUGCUACAAGUCUUGCUGUGUUUGUUGCCUAUAGUUUGGUUAAAGGUUAGAGAGGAGAUUUAUAUUUUUGAGGACGAAGACUCCGAGGAGAAGACCGUAGGCGUGACGCAAAUCCUUGAAGCUUCUUCCAGAGAGAAGAAGAUGCAGCGGAAUUUUGAACAAUCUCUAGAUUGAGAGAGAAAUCAAAAGAACAAACCAGAUUUGAGAAGAACAGACUGAAUCUGAGAAAGGAACUCAGAGAUCAGUAACCUAGACCAGAGAAACCCUAGAAAUGAGAGAAAUCACAAAACUGACCGAUUAAUCGGUGGAAAUGAUGGAUUAAACGGUAGAAAUCAAAGAACAAAGGGUAGAAAGUGUUUCAAUCGGUGGAAAACGAAGAAAAUGAUGAAACAGAUGUAGAUCGAAGAGUUUAGGGUUUGAGUAAAGGAAAUUUGAGUAGAGAAAGGUGUUUUGUGGUACAAAUGGAGAGGAAAACGAUAUUGAAGAAGUGAAGAAGCUUACGGCUGAUGAAGGAGAGCUCUCGAGAGUGAGAGCGAGCGAGGAAGGAGAUGCUUCUCUGGCUCGAGAAAGAAAAUGAAGUGCAGAUCUGAUGCGCGAAAUGAAAAAUAAGAAGCUAGUGAUGUGUAUAGCUUUUGACGCGUGGACGAAUGGAGACGUGGUAGCUCUGCUGACGCGUGCCACAAAGAUGAAGCAGAGUGGUGGAAAAGUGACGUCGUAGAGGGAGAGAAACACUUGGGAUGGAAAAUGAAAGUGAGGAAGUGUGCCUUGGAAGGUGGCUAGAGGAGGUCUCUUGGACUCUCUAGCCUUGUGACUUUCAAGAGAGAAUGGUUUCUAUUUCAGAAAUCUCAAUUCUCAUUCAUCUCAAAAGUGCCAAAUACAAGUGAGGAGCUGGGUAUUUAUAGUGACCCAAGCUUCUUGCAAGCUAAGCUUGUUAAGUCCCUGGCAAGUGUACCAGAUCGUUAUCAAGUAAUAUAAACGGGUAAGUCCGAGUAUCGUUUUCCCAAAGGACCCUUGAGAAAAGAAUAAUAUUGGUGGUUGUAUGCAAAGAACAAAAAUAAACAUGCAAUGCAAUUGAUUCAAUUGGUUUUUGAGAACUAUGGAUGAAUGGUGUUGUUAGGGUUUACAAUUU